This 445-nucleotide ribosomal RNA is filed under the name uncultured bacterium. Its description in RNAcentral is "bacterial SSU rRNA". It matches the Rfam family "Bacterial small subunit ribosomal RNA", at positions 354 to 796 of the family's 1533-position model. The record is from RNAcentral.
GUGAGGAAUAUUGGUCAAUGGGCGCAAGCCUGAACCAGCCAUCCCGCGUGCAGGAAGACGGCCCUAUGGGUUGUAAACUGCUUUUCCAGAAGGCGAAACGCUCUGACGUGUCAGGGUUUGACGGUAUUUUGGGAAUAAGCAUCGGCUAACUCCGUGCCAGCAGCCGCGGUAAUACGGAGGAUGCGAGCGUUAUCCGGAUUCAUUGGGUUUAAAGGGUGCGUAGGCGGACUAUUAAGUCAGUGGUGAAAUCCUCCCGCUUAACGGGAGAACUGCCAUUGAUACUGAUAGCCUUGAGUUUGGUUAAGGUAGGCGGAAUGUGUAAUGUAGCGGUGAAAUGCUUAGAUAUUACACAGAACACCGAUUGCGAAGGCAGCUUACUGGACCGACACUGACGCUGAGGCACGAAAGCGUGGGGAUCGAACAGGAUUAGAAACCCCAGUAGUCC